GUAGUACUCCCUCCAUCCGGAAAUACUUGUCAUCAAAAUGAAUAAAAGGGGAUGUAUCUAGAUGUAUAUUAGUUCUAGAUACAUCUUUUUUAUCCAUUUUGAUGACAAGUAUUUUCAGACAGAGGGAGUACUUG
This is a non-coding RNA of Triticum aestivum (bread wheat), 134 nucleotides long. The record is from Rfam. Lineage: Eukaryota; Viridiplantae; Streptophyta; Magnoliopsida; Poales; Poaceae.